RNAcentral lists this ribosomal RNA (253 nucleotides) under uncultured bacterium. RNAcentral describes it as "partial 16S ribosomal RNA". It matches the Rfam family "Bacterial small subunit ribosomal RNA", at positions 524 to 776 of the family's 1533-position model. The record is from RNAcentral.
UACGUAGGGUGCAAGCGUUGUCCGGCAUUAUUGGGCGUAAAGAGCUCGUAGGCGGUCUGUCGCGUCGGCUGUGAAAACUCGGGGCUCAACUCCGAGCCUGCAGUCGAUACGGGCAGACUAGAGUGCUGUAGGGGAGACUGGAAUUCCUGGUGUAGCGGUGAAAUGCGCAGAUAUCAGGAGGAACACCGAUGGCGAAGGCAGAUCUCUGGGCCGUAACUGACGCUGAGGAGCGAAAGCGUGGGGAGCGAACAGG